GAUAAACGCUGGCGGCGUGCAUGAGACAUGCAAGUCGAACGAAGGAUCGGGCUUGCUCGAUCCUUAGUGGCGGACGGCUGAGUAACGCGUAGGUGACCUACCCCGAAGUGGGGAAUAACUGCCCGAAAGGGUGGCUAAUACCGCAUGUGGUCGCACGUUCAUUCGUGCGAGUAAAGCCGCAAGGCGCUUCGGGAGGGGCCUGCGUCCGAUUAGCUCGUUGGUGGGGUAAUGGCUUACCAAGGCGACGAUCGGUAGGUGGUCUGAGAGGACGAUCAACCAGACUGGGACUGAGACACGGCCCAGACUCCUACGGGAGGCAGCAGUCGGGAAUUUUGCUCAAUGGGGGAAACCCUGAAGCAGCAACGCCGCGUGAGGGAUGAAGGCCUUCGGGUUGUAAACCUCUUUUGUCAGGGACGAUGAUGACGGUACCUGGCGAAUAAGCCACGGCUAACUACGUG
RNAcentral lists this ribosomal RNA (458 nucleotides) under uncultured bacterium. Its description in RNAcentral is "partial 16S ribosomal RNA". It matches the Rfam family "Bacterial small subunit ribosomal RNA", at positions 28 to 507 of the family's 1533-position model. The record is from RNAcentral.